GGAAACUGACCACAACGUCAUUCAUUCUUCGUUUGAAAAGUAAACAAAUAUACGGACGUUUUUGCAAAAUUGAAGAAAGCCAGAUUGCAGUACUCAAACAUCAACGGCGUUUCGUUCCGAGCCAACCGAUGUCGAAGUUUUUAAAAUAGUCAGGCCAAAGCUGACUCCGUACUAGUACUAUCCGGAUGUAAACCACAAACAACGCUAGGUUCAUAAAAGUGUCGUAUUAAACGUGACUGUCCAUUAGCUAAAUCCUAUCAUAUUUCGAUUGUCUGGUCGCGGCACCGGGAAAGAUCUUAACACAAAACAAUCAGUAAAUGAGAUAAAUA
Malaya genurostris is the source of this 329-nucleotide long non-coding RNA. RefSeq lists it as uncharacterized. The transcript has 2 exons. The record is from RefSeq and is a predicted model, not a curated record. NCBI's taxonomy places the organism in Eukaryota, Metazoa, Arthropoda, Insecta, Diptera, Culicidae.